Long non-coding RNA from Numida meleagris (helmeted guineafowl), 1084 nucleotides. The record is from Ensembl. NCBI's taxonomy places the organism in Eukaryota, Metazoa, Chordata, Aves, Galliformes, Numididae.
CAUGAAUAUUGUAUUUAGCUUUCUCCAUCCACAGAAGAAAAGCCAGUGUUUCAUUUGGCACUCUCUACUUAUUAAACUGUUCUUCUGCAUUGCUUCCCAGCUUCAGCUCUGCAACUCCUGAGCAAGCCAAAAACAAUCCAUCUCACCUCAAUCCUUCCUUAAAAAAGAAAAAGCCAUCACAAAACCCAGAAAUACAAACCUGAUACCCCUAAGAAGUACAUUCUUCUCUCUUUCUCAUUAUUCAGCAAAUGCACUUAGAGGUUAUAUUGGUUAAACCAGAUCCUCAGCUGGUUUAAGUUUACCUAGCUUGAGUGAGUUCAGUGAAGUUGUCUCAAUUUACAGCAGCUGACAAUUUGGCCCUCAUUAUUAAAGGCUUUAAAUAAUAUAGGAUCAGCUAGUCUUUGGAGUUGUGCUCUGUUUCAGUGGUGGGGAUUAGUGGUCUGGAAGGCUGGAAUAGCUGACCAUCACUGGAGAUAAGUUGGAAGGAAUGGGUACUUUCAGCUUUCUCUGCUAAGAAGCUGCUGGUGGCUGUGCUGUCUGAAAAGUUCUCUGGGUGUAGUAUCACAUACAUUUGGGAGCAGAACUGUGCCUGGCCCUCAAGCUGUCCAUCAGCCCUUGGCAGGGCAAUUUCCAUGAGGCCAUAGCUGCUGUGGAAAUCUGACUCAUACAGAUCUGUAUAUUUCUGUAGAAAUAUAUGCCUGGGAAAAGGCUGUAAAGAUCCUGGCCACCAUGUUUACCUUCAACACCAAAGACUUGCUUCAGAAGGAGAGGACACAGAAUGUUGUGCUGGCCCCCAAAGUGAAGGUGCGUAGGAAUGGAGAUUGAUUUAACCUCUACUGCACAGAGGAGAGAUCUGGUGGAUGUCCUACAAAUGUCAUUGACAAGGCAGGUAGGAUUUGAGAGCCGCAGCCCAAGAAGAAAAGGGAUAGAGACCCACAGCAUGCCUCACCCGAGCCCAUGGAGCCUCCACGCCUGUCACCCAUGGAAAUCAAUUUCCUGUUGAAUGGUGCCCGUAGACAAGAACUAGAUGCUCAAAGUCCCAUUGUAGCUUGACACAAUGAAAAUAAAACCCGGGGACAAUACA